This 253-nucleotide ribosomal RNA is filed under the name uncultured bacterium. RNAcentral describes it as "partial 16S ribosomal RNA". It matches the Rfam family "Bacterial small subunit ribosomal RNA", at positions 524 to 776 of the family's 1533-position model. The record is from RNAcentral.
UACGGGGGGGGCAAGCGUUGUUCGGAAUUACUGGGCGUAAAGGGCUCGUAGGCGGCCAACUAAGUCAUACGUGAAAUCCCUCGGCUUAACCGGGGAACUGCGUCUGAUACUGGAUGGCUUGAGUUCGGGAGAGGGAUGCGGAAUUCCAGGUGUAGCGGUGAAAUGCGUAGAUAUCUGGAGGAACACCAGAGGCGAAGGCGGCGACCUGGACAGGCACUGACACUCAACUACGAAAGCGUGGGGAGCAAACAGG